AUUGAACGCUGGCGGCAGGCCUAACACAUGCAAGUCGAACGAGUGGCGGACGGGUGAGUAAUGUCUGGGAAACUGCCCUUAGGUUCGGAAUAACAGCUGGAAACGGCUGCUAAUACCGGAUGCCUGAGGAUGAGCCCGCGUUGGAUUAGGUAGUUGGUGGGGUAAAGGCCUACCAAGCCGACGAUCCAUAGCUGGUCUGAGAGGAUGAUCAGCCACACUGGGACUGAGACACGGCCCAGACUCCUACUGGAGGCAGCAGUGGGGAAUAUUGGACAAUGGGCGCAAGCCUGAUGCAGCCAUGCCGCGUGUAUGAAGAAGGCCUUCGGGUUGUAAAGUACUUUCAGCGGGGAGGCGUUACCCGCAGAAGAAGCACCGGCUAACUCCGUGCCAGCAGCCGCGGUAAUUC
This 406-nucleotide ribosomal RNA is filed under the name uncultured bacterium. RNAcentral's name for it is "partial 16S ribosomal RNA". It matches the Rfam family "Bacterial small subunit ribosomal RNA", at positions 30 to 526 of the family's 1533-position model. The record is from RNAcentral.